GGACCGCGGAGGGGUGGGUUCCUGGGUGGCCGGAGCGCCCCAUCCGCGGCGGGGCACCGCCUACAGCCCGCGCAGCGUACCGGGGUGGGGGGUCCGCGGAGGGCGCCCCGGCCCUCCCCACCCCACCCCCGGCUCCCAGCUGGGGCGAACCCCUGCCACCAACCCACCCCCCCACCCCCCACCAGCGGCCUCGGGGCGCCUCCUCCCGCGGGUCUCCCGGCAGCGGCCGGCCCGGGCGGCGGUGGCCGUGACCGCGUCCGGCGCCCCUGCGCGCGCCCGGAGGCGGGGCGGGGCGGGGCCUCCGCGGCCCCCUCCCCCGGCCCGGGCUCCAGCUCUGCGCGGAGGCAGCGGCAGCGGCGGCGGCGGCGCGGGGACCAAGGUGAGCGGCGGCGGCGGGUCCCGGAGGCCCCGCGGGGGGAGGGGCCCGGGGGGUUCCGGGGGGGGGUGGCCCGCGCGCCCCAGCGGGUGGCCGGGGCCGGCGGCGCGGUGUGUGUGUGUGUGUGUGUGUGUGCGCGCGCGCGUCACGCCGGGUGCGGGGACAGGGGAUGGGACAGGGGUUGGGCGGCCCCCGGCAGGGGGCUCCAGCCUCACCCACUACCGGUACCCCCGGACCUCCCCGCUCCUCUCUCGGGGUCUCUCCCCCUCGCCGGUACCCCCCCGCCCCCACCUCGCCCCGUCCCGCCCCGCCCCCUUCUCGUCUCUAUCUCUGACUUUCUCUCGGUCUCUGUGGGUGGGUCUCUGCGCAUCCGUCCAGCUGGGCGUCCAGCUGCCUUGUUUCCUGGUCUUCCUUCCCCAACGCUGCCCCCGCCCCACGGCAGCCCUUCCCCUCCCUUUACAGUGCCCCCCUUAAUAGAGCAAACAAAGAUGAUAAAGGGAGGGAGGCACCUCCUUUCCCAGCCCUGUCCUGUUUCAGCGUGGGGCCCCACCCCUCUGGCCUCUGGCCUGGGCCUCCCGCCACCUUCCUGCGGGGAGCUGGCCCUGCAGAGCGUGUGUCUGUGUGUGUGUGGGGGGGGGGGGGGGUCGGUCUGGGAAGUAGACACAUCUGAGGGCAGAGACCCCGGGGUGGGAGCACAUAGGGGAGCCCCCCUCCCAUCCCGUGAGAGACAGCACACGGGGCAGACCUGCCUGGCUCUGAGUCUGGGCCUCUGGCAAAAUCAGACCGUGCCCUGGACCCUGUUCACAGGAGCAGGGCCUGACGCUUUCUAA
Molecule: long non-coding RNA, 1206 nt
Filed under: Felis catus (domestic cat)
Lineage: Eukaryota; Metazoa; Chordata; Mammalia; Carnivora; Felidae
Description: lncRNA (ENSFCAG00000047301.1)
Source: RNAcentral